UGAAGGCAGCAGAGUGACAAGGACAGCAAGUAGGCAGAUGGGAAGGUGAUGCUGGGCACGUGCCCACCCACCCACUUGCUCGGACAAUGGGGACUGCCCACCCACCCACUUGGAUGAUGGGAGGUACCUGCCCAUGUGGAUAAAAGAUCUCCCCUGCACUUCUAUAACAGAUGCCACAUUCCUCAGAAUUCUCUCCAUCCUGAACCAAGAACCAAGAUUCUCUCCAUCCUGAGUGAAGCAGAGCUGAUUGAUUGGAGACCAGGACCCGUCCCAGCCUCUCUGAAUUCUACAAUGAAUGUGACAUGCCACAUGAAGUCAGCCUAGUAACAGUGGCCAGCAGAAGUUCCCUACAAGAAAUCAUGCAGCUGUUUCAUUUGGCUCCCAUACAAAUCAGCACUGCAGCUCCUUUUUAAAAGCAAGCCAAAAUGUUC
Long non-coding RNA from Hemicordylus capensis (graceful crag lizard), 431 nucleotides. RefSeq lists it as uncharacterized. The record is from RefSeq and is a predicted model, not a curated record. The transcript has 3 exons. Lineage: Eukaryota; Metazoa; Chordata; Lepidosauria; Squamata; Cordylidae.